GAAUUCACUAGUGAUUUCUGGUUGAUCCUGCCAGACCUGACUGCUAUCGGAUUGGUACUAAGCCAUGCGAGUCAUUGUAGCAAUACAAGGCGGACGGCUCAGUAACACGUAGUCAACCUAACUCGUGGACGUGGAUAACCUCGGGAAACUGAGAAUAAACCACGAUAGAUCAUAAUGUCUGGAAUGGCUUAUGGUCCAAACAGUUUACUGCCAUGGGAUGGGACUGCGGCCUAUCAGCUUGUUGGUGAGGUAAUGGCCCACCAAGGCGAUUACAGGUACGGGCUCUGAGAGGAGAAGCCCGGAGAUGGGUACUGAGACACGGACCCAGGCCCUAUGGGGCGCAGCAGGCGAGAAACCUUAGCAAUGUGCGAAAGCACGACUGGGUCAGUCCGAGUGAUUUCUGAUAAAGGAAUCUUUUACUUGUCCUAAAAACACAGGUGAAUAAGGGGUGGGUAAGUCUGGUGUCAGCCGCCGCGGUAAUACCAGCACCUCGAGUGGUCAGGACGUUUAUUGGGCCUAAAGCAUCCGUAGCCGGCUCUGCAAGUCUUCGGUUAAAUCCACCUGCUCAACAGAUGGGCUGCUGGAGAUACUACAGAGCUAGGGAGUGGGAGAGGCAGACGGUAUUCAGUGGGUAGGGGUAAAAUCCUCUGAUCCAUUGAGGACCACCAGUGGCGAAGGCGGUCUGCCAGAACACGUUCGACGGUGAGGGAUGAAAGCUGGGGGAGCAACCGGAUUAGAUACCCGGGUAGUCCCAGCUGUAAACGAUGCAAACUCGGUGAUGCAUUGGCUUAUGGCCAAUGCAGUGCCGCAGGGAAGCCGUUAAGUUUGCCGCCUGGGAAGUACGGACGCAAGUCUGAAACUUAAAGGAAUUGGCGGGGGAGCACCACAAGGGGUGAAGCCUGCGGUUCAAUUGGAUUCAACGCCGGAAAUCGAAUUCCCGCGGCC
RNAcentral lists this ribosomal RNA (945 nucleotides) under uncultured archaeon. RNAcentral's name for it is "bacterial SSU rRNA". It matches the Rfam family "Archaeal small subunit ribosomal RNA", at positions 1 to 940 of the family's 1478-position model. The record is from RNAcentral.